RNAcentral lists this ribosomal RNA (433 nucleotides) under uncultured bacterium. RNAcentral describes it as "bacterial SSU rRNA". It matches the Rfam family "Bacterial small subunit ribosomal RNA", at positions 30 to 466 of the family's 1533-position model. The record is from RNAcentral.
AUUGAACGCUGGCGGCAUGCCUUACACAUGCAAGUCGAACGGUAACGCGGGGCAACCUGGCGACGAGUGGCGAACGGGUGAGGUAAUAUAUCGGAACGUGCCCAAUAGUGGGGGAUAGCCCGGCGAAAGCCGGAUUAAUACCGCAUACGACCUGAGGGUGAAAGCGGGGGAUCGCAAGACCUCGCGCUAUUGGAGCGGCCGAUAUCAGAUUAGGUAGUUGGUGGGGUAAAAGCCUACCAAGCCUACGAUCUGUAGCUGGUCUGAGAGGACGACCAGCCACACUGGGACUGAGACACGGCCCAGACUCCUACGGGAGGCAGCAGUGGGGAAUUUUGGACAAUGGGCGCAAGCCUGAUCCAGCCAUGCCGCGUGCGGGAAGAAGGGCCUCGGUUGUAACCGCUUUGUCUAGGAAGAAAGUACUUCUGGUUAAGUA